This 320-nucleotide ribosomal RNA is filed under the name uncultured eukaryote. Its description in RNAcentral is "partial 18S ribosomal RNA". It matches the Rfam family "Eukaryotic small subunit ribosomal RNA", at positions 1470 to 1796 of the family's 1831-position model. The record is from RNAcentral.
CCCCUAGAUGUUCUGGGCCGCACGCGCGCUACACUGAACAGUUCAACAAGUCUUAACCUUGGCCGAUAGGUCUGGGUAAUCUUUGAACGCUGUUCGUGAUUGGGAUAGACCUUUGCAAUUAUGGGUCUUCAACGAGGAAUUCCUAGUAAACGCAAGUCAUCAACUUGCAUUGAUUACGUCCCUGCCCUUUGUACACACCGCCCGUCGCACCUACCGAUUGAAUGGUCCGGUGAAAUCUCGGGACGGCGGCUUGGUCGCUUGCGUCCGACUGCUGAAACUUGAUUAAACCAUAUCAUUUAGAGGAAGGUGAANUCGUAACA